RNAcentral lists this transfer-messenger RNA (349 nucleotides) under Clostridiales bacterium. It matches the Rfam family "transfer-messenger RNA". Rfam says of the family: Bacterial tmRNA, also known as 10Sa RNA or SsrA, is named for its dual tRNA and mRNA-like properties. Its role is to liberate the mRNA from a stalled ribosome. To accomplish this part of the tmRNA is used as a reading frame that ends in a translation stop signal. The record is from RNAcentral. RNAcentral also lists the same sequence under 2 other names. Lineage: Bacteria; Bacillati; Bacillota; Clostridia; Eubacteriales.
GGGGAUGUCACGGUUUUGACAGAUGCACAGAGGUUAUCAGUAAGCAUAUCGCAGGGCAUACUGCGCAAAAAUAGCAAUUAAAUAUAAAUGCAAGCCCAAGAAUGGCUUACGCUGCUGCUUAAUUAUAGCGCACGUUGCUUUUAGCUUUGUCUCACAAAAAGUUAAAAGUAUUAUUUAAGUGAGUAAUGUUUUAAAAGUGCUGUUCUAAUUUUUAAAACGUGAUUAUAGAACUUAUUUAGCUUUUAUGUUUGUCCAUCCAUAAUGCUAUUGAAAAUUAAAUGGACUAAGUAUGUAGAAGGGAUAACUAAAAUGUAUUUGGACGCGAGUUCAACCCUCGCCAUCUCCACCA